AGAACGAACGCUGGCGGCAUGCCUAACACAUGCAAGUCGAACGAGACCUUCGGGUCUAGUGGCGCACGGGUGCGUAACGCGUGGGAAUCUGCCCUUAGGUUCGGAAUAACAGUUAGAAAUGACUGCUAAUACCGGAUAAUGUCUUCGGACCAAAGAUUUAUUGCCUAAGGAUGAGCCCGCGUAAGAUUAGCUUGUUGGUGAGGUAAAGGCUCACCAAGGCGACGAUCUUUAGCUGGUCUGAGAGGAUGAUCAGCCACACGUGGGACUGAGACACGGCCCAGACUCCGUACGGGAGCAGCGAGUGGGAAUAGUUGGACAAGUGGGACGAAAGCCUAGACUCCGAGCAAGUCGCCGGCGUAGAGUGAUGGAAGGUCCGUUAGGUUAGUAAAGUCUUACGUUUACCGGGAUGAAUAAUGACGAGGUACCGGAGAACGUACGCCCGACUAACCGUCCGUGACCGAGCCGACGCCGUACGGUAA
RNAcentral lists this ribosomal RNA (479 nucleotides) under uncultured soil bacterium. RNAcentral's name for it is "bacterial SSU rRNA". It matches the Rfam family "Bacterial small subunit ribosomal RNA", at positions 26 to 523 of the family's 1533-position model. The record is from RNAcentral.